Dufourea novaeangliae is the source of this 493-nucleotide long non-coding RNA. RefSeq lists it as uncharacterized. The record is from RefSeq and is a predicted model, not a curated record. The transcript is spliced from 4 exons. Lineage: Eukaryota; Metazoa; Arthropoda; Insecta; Hymenoptera; Halictidae.
UUAUCGUUUCUAGGUUUUAAUUCUGCGAGAGAUUUUGGCGGGAAACCUGGUGCUGCGGAAGGUAGGACAGUCAGGACAUUGCUGUUGAGAACACAACGUACAGCACCGCAAAAAUGUGAUUUCCUUUCCGUAAGAACCUACCGCCAGUAUCUUCAGUGAUUAAGUAACAAUAUAACGAGCUGCGUGACGAUUACGUAUCAGGCCCGGGGGAAUUGUGAAACGCACCAUCAGGGGAAACACUUGAGGCGGACAAAUUGCUUAUCGACGCAAGCCGCGCCCGCGAUUCAGACCACGUGUAUGCUCCAGCGACAGGCCAACGAAAACAACGUUGCAUGCCCGGUCCCGCGCAGAGAUUAAUUGCAGCACCGAACGACCGACUGAGAGGACGAAAAAUAUUCGCGCCGAUAAACGAUAAUCCCCUUAUGCUCGUAAAUUUCUUCGAUAUACCCUGACACACGACUCGAGCUCUCUGUUCCACAGACGGGGGACGGAA